RNAcentral lists this ribosomal RNA (317 nucleotides) under uncultured Arthrobotrys. Its description in RNAcentral is "partial large subunit ribosomal RNA". It matches the Rfam family "Eukaryotic large subunit ribosomal RNA", at positions 40 to 350 of the family's 3401-position model. The record is from RNAcentral. Lineage: Eukaryota; Fungi; Ascomycota; Orbiliomycetes; Orbiliales; Orbiliaceae.
AUAUCAAUAAGCGGAGGAAAAGAAACCAACAGGGAUUGCCUCAGUAACGGCGAGUGAAGCGGCAAGAGCUCAAAUUUGAAAUCGGUGUCUUUGACUACCGAGUUGUAAUUUGAAGAGGAUGCUUCGGGUUGCGGCCUUGGUCUAAGUUCCUUGGAAUAGGAUGUCAUAGAGGGUGAGAAUCCCGUAUUAUGGCUAAUGGGCUUGCUUUCUAUAUGUAGCACCUUCGAAGAGUCGAGUUGUUUGGGAAUGCAGCUCAAAAUGGGUGGUAAAUUUCAUCUAAAGCUAAAUAUUGGCGAGAGACCGAUAGCGCACAAGUA